UCUUGUACUUCAUGGUGGCUGUAGAGAA
Molecule: non-coding RNA, 28 nt
Filed under: Homo sapiens (human)
Lineage: Eukaryota; Metazoa; Chordata; Mammalia; Primates; Hominidae
Source: RNAcentral